Molecule: ribosomal RNA, 1482 nt
Filed under: Pelagibacterales bacterium SAG-MED30
Lineage: Bacteria; Pseudomonadati; Pseudomonadota; Alphaproteobacteria; Candidatus Pelagibacterales
Description: bacterial SSU rRNA
Rfam family: Bacterial small subunit ribosomal RNA
Source: RNAcentral
UUUAAACUUGAGAGUUUGAUCAUGGCUCAGAACGUACGCUGGCGGCACGCCUAACACAUGCAAGUCGAACGGAGUAGCAAUACUUAGUGGCAGACGGGUGAGUAACAUGUAGGUAUCUGCCCUUUGGCCUGGAAUAACACGAGGAAACUUGUGCUAAUACCGGAUAAGUCUUUACGGAGAAAGCUUUAUGCACCAUUGGAUGAGCCUGCACUUGAUUAGUUUGUUGGUGGGGUAAUGGCCUACCAAGACUUUGAUCAAUAGCUGAUUUGAGAGGAUGAUCAGCCACAUUGGGACUGAGACACGGCCCAAACUCCUACGGGAGGCAGCAGUGGGGAAUCUUGCACAAUGGAGGAAACUCUGAUGCAGCGAUGCCGCGUGAGUGAAGAAGGCCUUUGGGUUGUAAAGCUCUUUCGUCGGGGAAGAAAAUGACUGUACCCGAAUAAGAAGGUCCGGCUAACUUCGUGCCAGCAGCCGCGGUAAUACGAAGGGACCUAGCGUAGUUCGGAAUUACUGGGCUUAAAGAGUUCGUAGGUGGUUGAAAAAGUUGGUGGUGAAAUCCCAGAGCUUAACUCUGGAACUGCCAUCAAAACUUUUCAGCUAGAGUUUGAUAGAGGAAAGCAGAAUUUCUAGUGUAGAGGUGAAAUUCGUAGAUAUUAGAAAGAAUACCAAUUGCGAAGGCAGCUUUCUGGAUCAUUACUGACACUGAGGAACGAAAGCAUGGGUAGCGAAGAGGAUUAGAUACCCUCGUAGUCCAUGCCGUAAACGAUGUGUGUUAGACGUUGGAAAUUUAUUUUCAGUGUCGCAGCGAAAGCAAUAAACACACCGCCUGGGGAGUACGACCGCAAGGUUAAAACUCAAAUGAAUUGACGGGGACCCGCACAAGUAGUGGAGCAUGUGGUUUAAUUCGAAGAUACGCGCAGAACCUUACCAACACUUGACAUGUUCGUCGCGACUCUAAGAGAUUAGAGUUUUCGGUUCGGCCGGACGAAACACAGGUGCUGCAUGGCUGUCGUCAGCUCGUGUCGUGAGAUGUUGGGUUAAGUCCCGCAACGAGCGCAACCCUCACUUUUAGUUGCCAUCAUUUAGUUGGGCACUCUGAAAGAACUGCCAGUGAUAAGCUGGAGGAAGGUGGGGAUGACGUCAAGUCCUCAUGGCCCUUACGUGUUGGGCUACACACGUGCUACAAUGGUAUCUACAACAGGAAGCAAGACGGCGACGUCAAGCAAAUCCUUAAAAGAUACCUCAGUUCGGAUUGCACUCUGCAACUCGAGUGCAUGAAGCUGGAAUUACUAGUAAUCGUGGAUCAGCGUGCCACGGUGAAUGCGUUCCCGGGUCUUGUACACACCGCCCGUCACACCAUGGGAGUUGGUUCUACCUUAAGGCAAGGUUUAAAACCCUUGACCACGGUAUAGUCAGCGACUGGGGUGAAGUCGUAACAAGGUAGCCGUAGGGGAACCUGCGGCUGGAUUACCUCCUUUCUAA